GGAGGCGCUCCGUGAGACGGUCGCUGCUCUCGUUCUUCUCGCGCCUCUUCUCACGCCGGCGCAAGAGGCAGCCUGCGGCCUCUCAGGUCAACGUAGACCCCCCGGAGGGUCCCAGCUCUGCCGCCCGCGGAGGCCAGCCGGCCCAAAACCCCGUGACGACGGAGCAGCAAAGCCCGGAGGCCUCGAGCAGCAGUUCAGCCUUCGAGUCCGAGGAGAGCAGCACUGAGGACAGCGGCAGCGCUCUGGCCGCCCCCGAGGGGCCCCCCAAAAAGAGGGGCUUCCUGAAGUGGCUGCGGACCCGCUUCUCGGGAUGCCGGGGCAAGAAGUCCGCCUCCACUCCGGGCAGCAACAGCAGCCUGUAGGGUUUCGGGGAGGCGGAGAGCGCGGGAAACGCCAGAAGAUGGUGUGGUGAGGUUGUCAUGGGUCUGGCCUUCCUUUGUUGCGAAAAAAAAAAGGGAAAAGGGUUUUGAGAAUCUUCUGAUGUUUGGUUAUGUGCUGACUGCACGUAUUGGCAUGAGACACAUAGACCCAAUAGAAAUAGCCUUCCUUUUUUAAAUGUUCUGCGAAUGCUGUCAAUGCAAUUGGUGAGUAUUAUCGGUGCGCAUGUGCGUGUGUGGGGUUUUAGGAGAUAAAAAAAAAUUAUCCAAAAAUUAUCCUAAACUCAUCCCAUAACCUCAGCCAUUGAUGGGGGUGAAAGGUAAAUGGGCUAAAACUGGUCCCAGGUCAGAUGACUCUAAUGAAUAUGGGCUCAUGAGUUUUUCCAGCAGGGCUACCAGGGCACUGGGGUCCACAGUCGAGAAGGGUAGCGGAGGUCAGCUACGAUAGGCGUGGAGGCACACCACCGAGCAUGGGCAGAAAGCGGUUGUGGAGAUUCGAUUUCGCGCCCUCUUUGGUGUUUGCCGUGGCAAUAAGAAGUCGGGUCACCACUCCUGGACU
Anguilla anguilla (European eel) is the source of this 936-nucleotide long non-coding RNA. RefSeq lists it as uncharacterized. Lineage: Eukaryota; Metazoa; Chordata; Actinopteri; Anguilliformes; Anguillidae. The transcript is spliced from 3 exons. The record is from RefSeq and is a predicted model, not a curated record.